Molecule: ribosomal RNA, 480 nt
Filed under: uncultured bacterium
Lineage: Bacteria
Description: bacterial SSU rRNA
Rfam family: Bacterial small subunit ribosomal RNA
Source: RNAcentral
GAACGGGUGAGUAACACGUGGGUAACCUGCCUGCAAGACCGGGAUAACUUCGGGAAACCGGAGCUAAUACCGGAUGAUCUCCUUUUCCGCAUGGAGAAGGACUGAAAGGACGGCGCAAGCUGUCGCUUGCAGAUGGGCCCGCGGCGCAUUAGCCAGUUGGUGAGGUAACGGCUCACCAAGGCGACGAUGCGUAGCCGACCUGAGAGGGUGAUCGGCCACACUGGGACUGAGACACGGCCCAGACUCCUACGGGAGGCAGCAGUAGGGAAUCUUCCGCAAUGGACGAAAGUCUGACGGAGCAACGCCGCGUGAGCGACGAAGGCCUUCGGGUCGUAAAGCUCUGUUGUCAGGGAAGAACAAGUGCGGGAGUAACUGCCCGCACCUUGACGGUACCUGACCAGAAAGCCACGGCUAACUACGUGCCAGCAGCCGCGGUAAUACGUAGGUGGCAAGCGUUGUCCGGAAUUAUUGGGCGUAAAG